GAGAGAGAGAGAGAGAGAGAGAGAGAGAGAGAGAAAAAGAGAGAGAGAGAGAGGGAGAGCAAAAAAAGAAAGACAAGUGACAUGUAAUACUAUAGGACUCAGACAACAAUAGUAAAAAGCAACAGAUGGUUUACAUUCUAGGAGGGUACAAAUGGUCACAUAGAUCAUUAUUUGCAGUGGAUAUGAGAUGUUGUUUUAAAGGGUGGAACACGAUGUUUGCUUAACUUGAACACACACAUCAGUGAGACAUAAAGGAAAAACUGAGAAAGGAGGAGAAAAAAAAAAAACAACAACAACAAAAAAUAACUCCGUAUAGUACCAGUGAUCUCUGACACAAAAUAACAGGGAUGCGUCAAUACUGACACUGGUGUCAGAUAUCGGUCUGGCUCAUUUACUCAUCCUCGUACAAUGCCAUUCUAAGCAACAUGACACAGAAUGACAGUGAUCUGGAUGCAUCAUUUCCUGAUUAACGAUCGAAGCACAGCGGCCUGGAAACCGUCACUACAGCAUCCUCCUACAACACAAGAACCUUCUCAGCGUGUAUAAGCAGUACCUUUAACAGAGUGCAACAGCGGCCGACGUGAGCACACAGAGCAGAUUCGGUGAGCACGGUCAUUAAAAAUUGGUGCAAGGUACCUUGAAAUGUGUACGUACACACACACACACACACACACACACACACACACACACACAGGUAUUUGAGAAUGUGGAACGGAAAAAAAGAUAUGCAGAGAACCUGGGAUACGUGAGAGAGAGCGCAAUGAAAUUCUGCAGGCACUGAAUACCGAAGCUACGUCCACGUUAAUCUGGAUGAAUUUGAAAACGCACCGAGGCUACAUCCACGUUAAUCCGGAUCAUUUUGAAAACGGGUCAUUGCUCUAUAUUUUGGCCUUCUGUCCACACUGAGACAGCGUUUUUGUCCAGCAAAAACUGAGCUUUUUGAAAAACACUCUCCCAAGUGAAUAAAUUUGAAAACGCCCUUUUCACGUUGUAGUGUGGACUGAGAAAAUUUAAACAAAACAACCCCGAAACUUUGACGUAUUUUUAGUCAUGUGACCUAUUCAGCUCAACACAACCAACAUGGUGGACGAUGUUGUACUGCAGUAAACAAAUGACGCAGAACAGAGUUUCUUAUGUUUUUGAACAUGCGCAGUAUAGAGACAUGGGCGUUUCCAGAAGUUUCAGUGUGCACUAGCAAUUUUUGGAAAACACUCGAAGACGGCAGCGUAGAUGAAUAGCAUUUUAAAAUGAAAAUGCAGUUUUCAGAUGUAUCCGGAUUAACGUGGACGUAGCCUGAGACAUGCACGCUUCAGGUCUCCCCUCAAAGGUAGACUUUUGCUAAUGCUCUGCGUACUCUGGUUUAAAGACACCUGCUCUCUAUUAAAGACUCUGCUACAUAAACAGAGCUAAAUAAAAUGCUCUGACUGAUAUUAAGAAGGUAAUUCAUUGUAGUAUCUGUAUCGAAGGAUACCAAAAAAAAACACAACAAAAAAAAAACCCCAUAGUACACAAUCUGAAAUUUUAUAUUAUAUAAGUAUUGACGCAUCCCUACAAAAUACCUACCAUUAAUUAAUUUUAAUUAAAGAAAAGGAAAAACAGAAAGCCAUGGAGCAUCAAUGGCAUUUUAAUUAAAAACUCAAUUUUUGUCCCAAGUGCCAUGACAUAUAAAAUCAAGAGUUAAAUCUUUAACCCAGAACAAUAUAUUAAAUCAUUUGGAUUUAUUACGGGGAGUGAGUUGAUAUGAAAUAUUUUUUUUUCCUAUAUGUGCAAUUACCAUUAUAAUACAGAACUAUUUACAUUCAUGUCGAUUUUAAUUAACAUGAAACAUCAACCAAGUAAUGGAUGAACCAAUACAAAACAAAGGAUGACAUUCAUGAAAAAAAAAGAAGAGAUACCUCAAAUUAAAGGCAUAGAAGUCUCAUUUUAAAAAAUAUAAGGGUUAAGUUCACAUACAAUGACAUGACAAAUCAAGAUUGCUUCAUUUCGAACAUAGGCACAUAAAUUUAUCCAGAUCUGAGGCUUGGAGAGACCAGAAGUCUACUUGGCAGCCAUCUUGAAAGUGGAGUUCAGGCACCGAAAGCGGCUAAUGCUCUGUAUGUACUUUUGUAAACAAAAUUACUGAAGACUAAAGGGUCUGUGUAUAACCUCAACGCCAGUCCUAUUAAUCCCUUUAACCAAUCUUCAGUCAGCAAUGCAAAAAUACCUCAAAAUCUAUUAUCUUUUCACUCACAUAUCCUGUUAGAAACCCGCACUACCUUCUGGAACGUUCCUCAUUCUUUAAAGAUGACUACAUUUUUUUUCUCUCUUUUAGGCGAGAAGUAUCUUUGGCGUCAACAACUUUCGAUUUUUUUUAUUUUAUUAUUAUUAGUUUACACCCACUAAAAUAAAUUAAAAAUCAAGAAUGUUUUUAAUCACGCAUCUGAUUGUUGAUUUUCUAUGCAAUGACCAAAAAAAAAAAAAAAAAAAAAAAACAACCCUGAAAACAAAUGUGUAAACCUUCCCACCACCACGUCACUCUAACUUAAAAAAAAAAAAAAAAAAAAAAAAAAAAAAAAAAAAUUCCCUUAACCUUGUUCAUUUAGUUGUUCAAACCAGGAAGAAAAACUAAGCAAAAGAUGAUUUUAGUCUCGGGUCCAGAGCGGUCCCGUAUUCUAAACCCGUCAGUGUACUGACCGAUUCAAGGCUGCAGGCGCCUAUGGCACAUCAAACCAACAUCCUAGGUGCGGGUUCAUGUAUAAGAAUGAGCGUUUUCAAGUGAUGGAUAUAUAAUAGUAUACAUGUGAUGUGAACAUCCAAAUAAUAAUAGUAAUAAUAAUAAUAAAAAAAAAAAACACACACAAAAAACAAACCAAACUGUGUUUUGUUACAGUCGUUUUUGUAAAGCUGAGAAGAAAAUUUUCAGGCGAUUCUCUGCGGCGUGACUCUGCGGCUAGCGCUGCUUGGGCUGAAGUCUCGGGCCGCUCUGACGGAUGAGGCUGCGUGGCCUGCUUGUAUUUUUAGGGCCAAAGCGGUGAGAGAUGACCUGCUUUCAGUAUGAUCGAUUGUCUCGCCCAAGGUGCGCUUGAAAAAGAGGGGCAUAAAUAAAAGGAGGGAAGAGCGACUUUGCUUGAGGGAAACGAUGGCAAAUUUGGCACGCGGCACCGCUGCCCUGUUUUCAGCGCUGGAGCGGCUUCAAGUAAGGGGGGGG
Long non-coding RNA from Ictalurus punctatus (channel catfish), 3187 nucleotides. NCBI's taxonomy places the organism in Eukaryota, Metazoa, Chordata, Actinopteri, Siluriformes, Ictaluridae. The record is from Ensembl.